UUGUCCUGUGUGCAUCCAAAACAAUUCCUACACUUAUCUCAAGUUUCCAGCAUCCACAACAUAUCUAUAAGGUAACCAUUCAUUCUCUAAGAUCACUAGUAAACAUCAUCAUCUCUAAUUAAAUCAUUCCUAAUCUCAAAUACAAAUCAAGAAGACAGAAAAAUAUAUUACUAAUACCUUCGCUCGAUUCCUCUCUCUUCACUUUUUAAACCUCUGGUGAAAGCGUCUCUGUGGAUAAUCAUCGGCGGAAUUCGCAGAGACUAUUUCAAUUUCUGUCGUAGUCUUUGGUGAAAUCGAUUUAGAAGGAAGAAGAAAAAAAACAGAGGAUCUCGAUAGAUGAAACCAAACGAUGAUAUGAUAAAUCUUACCGUUACGGAUCAUUACCGUUUCGAGAAGAGAACAGAGAACCGAACUAAACUGCAUCAUUAGUAGGAUCUUGAACAAAAUUUAUGGAUUUACUUUUGGUUUUAGGGUUUAGAAGAAGAAGAAGAAGAAGAAGAGAGAGUUUUGUAUUAUCACAACGAUGAAUGAAUGAAGAAGAAAUUAAGGAUUAGGAAGUUAAAAAGAAAAACGAAAUUGAUAUCAAAAAAAAAAAUUACCAAAAAAAAUUGAUAUUAAUUUUACAACGGUCAGAUUUAAGAGAUUUCAA
Molecule: long non-coding RNA, 649 nt
Filed under: Capsella rubella
Lineage: Eukaryota; Viridiplantae; Streptophyta; Magnoliopsida; Brassicales; Brassicaceae
Description: long non-coding RNA (CRUB_LNC001743)
Source: RNAcentral